RNAcentral lists this ribosomal RNA (3438 nucleotides) under Triticum aestivum (bread wheat). RNAcentral's name for it is "partial small subunit ribosomal RNA". The record is from RNAcentral. Lineage: Eukaryota; Viridiplantae; Streptophyta; Magnoliopsida; Poales; Poaceae.
AUGUGUGGUAGAAAAUAUGUGCAUCCUCUUGGCACUCUCAGUUCCACACUUCCCCUAGUCCUUGUCCUCUGCUCCCUUGUUCAUGCAUCUUCAUUAGGUGCUACGGCACUCCAAAAUGAUUCUAACACCGACCUCCAUGCUCUCCGCUGCCUCAAACUCCAUCUCACCAGCUCUGCUGGACUCCUAGCCUCCUGGGAAAAUGACUCGCUGCCGUUCUGCGGUUGGUCCGGUGUUACUUGCAGCAAGAGACACGCAUCUCGUGUCGUUGCACUGGACCUCGAGUCACUUGACCUCAGUGGACAGAUACCGUCUUGUGUAAGCAAUCUCACUUUCCUCAGGAGAAUCCACAUCCCAAACAAUCAACUUACUGGCCAAAUACCACCUGAACUUGGCCGUCUAAAUAGGCUGCGGUACCUUAACCUCAGCACAAAUCAUCUUAGUGGCACGAUCCCGAGCACUCUGUCUUCAUGCUUUCGCCUUCAAAUUAUUGAUCUUGGGAGUAACUCCCUUCAUGGUGAGAUCCCCCAAACCCUGAGCGGAUGUUCACAUAUCCAACAGCUCAACUUGGGUCACAACAUGCUUAGAGGAGGUAUCCCACAAGGGUUGGGGAUGCUCCGCAACCUUUCCGUUUUGGAUCUUGCUAGCAAUAGUCUGACGGGCAACAUUCCACUUUCACUUGGAAGCAGCUCUUAUCUUCAUUCUGUUGUUCUCACAAACAAUAGCCUCACAGGACCUAUCCCGCCUCAUCUAGCUAAUAGUUCAUCACUUCAACUUUUAUCCUUGACAAGAAAUAGCCUGGGUGGAGAGAUUCCUUCUGCGCUGUUUAACAGCACGUCACUUCAAAAGUUAUCCCUAGGACUGAACAAUUUUGUCGGGUCCAUACCAGCUUCGUCGAACAUUGAUUCACCCUUACAAUACCUUAUCUUGCAAUCAAAUAAUCUUUCUGGCACCAUACCUCCUUCUUUAGGGAAUUUUUCUUCCCUUCGCCGGCUCUCGCUAGCAGAUAAUAAUUUCCAAGGUAGAAUCCCGAUGAGUAUAGGCAAUAUUCCGUACCUGCAAGUACUAGAUCUCACUUAUAACUUCUUGUCAGGGACUGUCCCUGGCACUCUCUACAACAUGUCAGCACUUACAUACCUUGGCAUGGGUACAAACAUACUUGUAGGGGAAAUUCCAUAUAACAUCGGGUAUACCCUUCCAAAUAUCCAGACUUUGAUUAUGCAAGGAAACCAAUUCCAAGGCCAAAUCCCCACUUCACUAGCCAACACAACCAAUCUUCAGAUGAUCGACCUCCGAGAGAAUCAAUUCCAUGGUGUUGUUCCUUCUCUUGGAACUCUUACUGGUCUAGUCGAUCUAGAUCUAGGUGGGAAUCAACUUGAAGCAGGAGAUUGGUCUUUCUUAUCCUCAUUGAGCAAUUGCACACAACUGAUGAAGUUGCGUUUGGAUGAAAAUAACCUUCAGGGUGUCUUGCCCAAGUCCAUUGGAAGCCUUUCAAAAAGCUUAGGGUUACUGCUAUUGAGAUCAAAUAAAAUAUCUGGCAUUAUACCACACGAGAUACAGUACUUGACAAGCCUCGAACUUCUUUACAUGGACCAGAAUUUGCUUACUGGAUAUAUUCCCGAAUCACUUGGAAAUCUUCCAAACUUAUUUGUCUUAAGCUUGUUCAAGAACAAACUUUCCGGAUCAAUUCCGCUUUCUGUUGGUAAUCUGAGUCAACUGAGUGAGCUCUAUUUACAGGAAAAUAAUUUGAGUGGUCCUAUCCCAGGAGCUUUAGCAGGCUGCAAAAAGUUGGAACAACUGAACCUCUCUUGUAACAGCUUUGAUGGAAGAAUACCAAAGGAGCUCUUUACUCUUAUCUCCCUUUCCCAGUGUCUGGACUUGUCUCACAACCAACUCUCUGGACAGAUACCUCUGGAGAUUGGCAAUCUGAAAAAUCUUGGGCCACUAAAUAUUUCCCAUAAUCAAUUGUCUGGACAAAUACCCCCCACUCUAGGUCAGUGCGUCCAUUUGGAGUCCCUCCACAUGGAGUGUAACCUCUUUCAUGGGAAAAUCCCUCACUCCUUCAAAAGUUUGGGAGGAAUCAUUGAGAUGGAUCUAUCUCAAAACAACUUAUCUGGUGAAAUCCCUGACUUCUUUAAGUUCUUUAAGUCUAUGAAGCUUCUCAAUUUGUCCUUCAAUAACCUCGAGGGUCCAGUACCAUCAGAUGGGAUAUUUCAGAAUGGAAGCAAGGUUUUCAUUCAAGGGAACGUGAAGUUAUGUACCAGCAUUCCAUUGCUACAGCUGCCAUUUUGCAAUGCAGAGGCAUCCAAACAAAGGAAUGUAUCCAGCAUUUUCAAGAUAGUAGGAUUUACAGUUCUCUCCUUGGUCCUGUUAUCAUGCUUUGCAACCAUUAUUUUGAAGAAGAAAAAGAAACUCAAACAAGAAGCUCAUCCAUCCUGCAAAGAGUUGAAGAAGUUCACAUAUGCAAAUUUAGUGAGAGCAACAAAUGGUUUCUCACCAGAUAACUUGGUCGGUUCAGGAAAAUAUGGGUCUGUGUACAGAGGUAGAAUUGAAUCUGAAGAACAUGAAGUUGCCAUCAAAGUUUUCAAACUCAAUCAACUCGGAGCACCAAAAAGCUUCAUUGUUGAGUGUGAAGCAUUGAGAAAUACUCGUCACAGGAAUCUUAUAAGGGUGAUUACUGCAUGCUCAACGAUUGAUCCAACAGGACAUGAUUUCAAAGCUAUUGUUCUUGAAUAUAGUGUUAACGGCGACCUGGGAAGUUGGCUCCAUCCAACAGUCCAUGAGGAUGGUCAGAGAAGGCCAUUGAGUUUCGGUACAAGAAUAGUAAUAGCAGUGGACAUAGCUGCAGCUUUGGAUUACCUCCAUAACCAAUGUGUGCCUCCUAUGGCACACUGCGAUCUGAAGCCUAGCAAUGUCCUUUUGGAUGAUUUCAUGGGCGCACGUGUUGGCGAUUUCGGGUUGGCUAAGUUCCUGCAUAGUUACAAUUCUUCGGACAUUCAUACUUCUACAAGCUUAGUGGGGCCAAGAGGAUCAGUUGGAUACAUUGCCCCAGAAUAUGGCUUUGGGAGCAAAAUCUCCACUGAGGGCGAUGUAUUUAGCUAUGGAGUCAUCAUCUUAGAAAUGCUAACAGGAAAGCGUCCAACUGAUGAGAUGUUUAAAGAUGGCCUGAGCCUUUACAAAUUUGUUGAAAAAUCAUUUCCUCAAAAGAUUGAGGAGAUUCUAGACCCUAGAAUAGUUCCAGGUUAUAGAAAUGAAGGUGAGGAUGCAGGCGGUGAUUUAGACCGGGAAGCUCAUCCAAUGGUUGCAAUGAACUGCAUCAUAAAGCUCAUUGAGCUUGGGUUGUUGUGCUCUGCGGAGACACCUAAAGAUCGGCCAACUAUACAGCACAUAUACAACGAAGUUAUCACAAUCAAAGAAUCAUUCUCAGCAUUGCAGAGCUGA